CUUGGAGAGAAUACAAUGAAACUAAUUAUAGAAAAUUUAAGACAGGGGUACCUGGGUGGCUCAGUUGGUUAAGCAUCUGACUCUUGAUUUCUGCUUAAGGUCAUGAUCUCAGGGUCAUGAGAUUGAGCCCCAUGUCAGCCUCUGCAUUGGGCAUGAAGCCUGCUUAAGAGUCUCUCUCUCUCCCUCUUCCUCUCUGCUCCCAGCCCCCCACUUGUGCUGUCUCUCUUUUUGUCUCACAGGAAGGAAGGAAGGAAGGAAGGAAGGAAGGAAGGAAAGAAGAAAAGAAGGGAAGAAGGGAAGAAGGGAAGAAGGAAGGAAGAGAGAGAAAGAAAACUUAAGACAGUGUUUGGAAUCAGAACAAGAGGGCUUAACUGAGCCCAUUAGGCCUGCUGUUCUCCAAAUGACAUGGCCUGCACCUGCCACGUGAUGAGAGACAUCUCCGGAGCACCAUCUUUGGAAGGGAAACGAAAAGCCAGGGGACCUGGCCAGUGUCCCUCAGGGACUGGCAUUGGACAAGCACUAAGCAUUGACCAGAGGGUGACAAAAGCUGCUUAUAGUUCCUUCCUCGCACAAGCAAAUGUUAUAAGACACAUCCAGAAGAGAGUCAAAUGGAAAUUCUGAAAUUAGUUUUGAAGGGUGAGUUUUAGAAGCAUUAUUUUCUUUUAGUGCUUGAGAAUUUAGUCAGUAAUACCCAAAAUACAACCAUUUGUUUUCACAUAUUUCAAAGCCAUUUUAUAGUCAUUUACUACUGUUUAGUUCCUAGCUGAUGAAUUACUCACAACCCUUAAUCUUUCUCACCUCAUUAGUUUUCAAUUUUGCACAUCGCAUAUCUUCAAAGAUGACUGCUGCUUUUCUAUAGAGAAAUGCUGAUGUGCUCAGGCUGUUACAGAGAAGAGUUGAAGGAGGAAGGAGACAGAGGGAAAAGCAAUAGGCAACCUCUUCAGCAGGGCUGCUUAACUGGCAGAGUGGAUUAGUUCCUAAAUCCCCACACUGGGGUUGACGUGGGUGUUCUAGACAGCCAUGAUGGUAGUGUUGGGACACUGUGAUCUUCUGAGUAUAAUAAAAAUAGAAAUAAUUUUUAAAAUGAAGCUUAA
RNAcentral lists this long non-coding RNA (1094 nucleotides) under Ursus maritimus (polar bear). RNAcentral's name for it is "lncRNA (ENSUMAG00000008498.1)". Lineage: Eukaryota; Metazoa; Chordata; Mammalia; Carnivora; Ursidae. The record is from RNAcentral.